This 799-nucleotide ribosomal RNA is filed under the name Amolops panhai. Its description in RNAcentral is "partial 12S ribosomal RNA". It matches the Rfam family "Bacterial small subunit ribosomal RNA", at positions 115 to 1424 of the family's 1533-position model. Lineage: Eukaryota; Metazoa; Chordata; Amphibia; Anura; Ranidae. The record is from RNAcentral.
UCAGCACUCCCGUGAGAAAGCCCUUCCAACCUCCACCAGGACAAGGAGCUGUCAUCAGGCACAACUAAAAUUGCCCAAAAUAUCUAGUCUCACCACGCCCCCAAGGGUAACAGCAGUGAUAAAUAUUGUCUAUAAGCGACAGCUUGAUUCAGUUAAAGAGAAGAGAGCCGGCCAAUUUGGUGCCAGCCGCCGCGGCUACACCAAAGACUCAAGUUGAUGAUCACCGGCGUCAAGCGUGGUUAAAGAGCCCGCAAAUUAAGGUUAAAUUAACACUUAGUAGUAAUAAGCUUGAUGUUAAGAAAAUCACAAACGAAAGUUACCCUAAUUACCCAUACUUGAACCCACGACAGCUGGGAAACAAACUAGGAUUAGAUACCCUACUAUGCCCAGCCGUAAAUAUUCUAAUUACACUCACCAACGCCAGGGAACUACGAGCUAUGCUUAAAACCCAAAGGACUUGGCGGUGACUCAUCCAACUAGAGGAGCCUGUUCUAUAAUCGAUAAUCCACGCUAUACCUAACCAUUUCUUGCUAGUCAGCCUGUAUACCUCCGUCGAAAGCCAACCCUGUGAAUGCUAAAGUAGGCCUAAUGAUACCCCAUCAACACGUCAGGUCAAGGUGCAGCUCACGAAAUGGGUGAAAUGGGCUACAAUUUCUAAUAUAGAACAAACGGAAGAUCAUAUGAAAUUAUGAUUAAAAGGUGGAUUUAGUAGUAAAAAGAAAAUAGAGAGUUCUUUUUAACCAAGGCCCUGAGACACGUACAUACCGCCCGUCACCCUCUUCAAUAGUUACCCAUACGU